Molecule: long non-coding RNA, 469 nt
Organism: Anolis sagrei ordinatus
Lineage: Eukaryota; Metazoa; Chordata; Lepidosauria; Squamata; Anolidae
Source: RefSeq, a predicted model, not a curated record
UCAGCGCAAAGAGGAGGAGAACUGAGGUGAUCCCUCCAGCCAAUCAGCGGGCUGCCUGGCCUCAGCCGAACACAGAGAGCCGGAAAGGGGCGGGGCCAGCGCCUGUUAGGGAAAUGCUCGCUCCCGCGUUUGGAAUGCACUUUGCAUGAGUGUCGCGGGCACGUGGCAGGGGCAUCCUGCAGCACAUUUUGCUCAUUGAAUAUAUUUCAUCAAUUCAACCUAGUUUGUGGCAGCCACAAAAAUGAAGUUCCUGGAGUAUAACAACUACUUUCAAUGCUUGAGCUAUGGAAGUUCUUGGAGAGAACAAAAGAGAAAAACAAAGAGAGACAGAAUUUGGAGUGUACUCUUGCUUCAUGAGCUGCCAAGGAAAAUUUUCCAUAAAAGGACAUUAUGUGAGUUGAUGCAACUGAUCACAUUGUACAUAUGUUGUUCUGAUUUAAAAAGAGUAAACUGCUUAUUUUUCAUUGUU